This is a non-coding RNA of Claviceps aff. purpurea, 75 nucleotides long. NCBI's taxonomy places the organism in Eukaryota, Fungi, Ascomycota, Sordariomycetes, Hypocreales, Clavicipitaceae. The record is from the annotation of a GenBank genome assembly.
CGCGGGUUAGUGUAAUUAUAGUCAACACAUUGGGCUCAUGUCCCAAAGAUAUUGGUGCAAGUCCGGUAUCCGCAU